Hippocampus comes (tiger tail seahorse) is the source of this 1002-nucleotide long non-coding RNA. RefSeq lists it as uncharacterized. Lineage: Eukaryota; Metazoa; Chordata; Actinopteri; Syngnathiformes; Syngnathidae. The transcript has 4 exons. The record is from RefSeq and is a predicted model, not a curated record.
ACAAGUGGGUUAUUAUUAUCACUGCUGUUAUUGAGCAAUCUAAAGUGUUGAAAAUAGCCUGGGCGUUCAGAUGAUAGAACUGCAUGCUUGACAUCGAACAGGUUGAAUUGGCCUCUUAAUUACACCUGGAGUUAAUCUUUAAAUUCUAUUCAAGACAUGUUUGGGUGUCGGAGAGAGAAAAUGAGACAGAGAGGGCAAAAGCAUAAAAACACUCAACCCACAAAGUAUUGCGAGUUCAUCCUUUAGCGAUGCCUGCAGGCAGUGGCAGUUGGAACGAACCGAGCCAGGAAGUCCUGCCAGCGGUUCACCAACCCCAAAAUGAAAAGGAAGCAUGAGAGCAGUCACCGCUGGACUCGGAGCAAUCCAUAAUUCAGAUCUCUUGAUGCGGGAGUUAAUUGCUGGAGAAGAUGCAUCACAUGAACCGUGUCUGACUAAGACAGAAGGGUUGAAGAGGAGACUGCCGUGAAGUUGAUGACCGCUAUUAAUAGCAUAAGUGAGCCAAAGUGCGAGAACCAACAUCCACCCUCUGGACCCAUAAAUCAUCUCAAUGCUUUACCUAGGAAGAACUGAAUAGUUUCUUAAGUGCAGAGGCCACGUUAUUGUCCCGCAGGAAUGUAUGCUUCCAUUUCUGUAACUUGGACAAUAAUGACAGAUGGUGUUAGAUGCCUCCCUCCUAGCUUAGCAGCCCUUGGACUAAUAACCCGGAGGCCAGUAGUGGCAAAGUCACAAGUUUGACUACAUUUCUCAGUAGCGUGGUGCCAUCGUUGUUUACAACACAACGGUAAAGUUACAUUUAGGAUCACAUAACUGUAUCGUCCACAGAAGCAACAUUUGCCCAGGCAGUUCUAAAUCUCUAUUACAUCUCUUCAGUAGCUAGGACGAGUACUACGUGGUAUGUGAAAAAUAAAAUAAAAAAUGAUAUCUGUGAGUUGUCUGAUAAACAAAACAGUUACUGAAUAUGCCCAACACAAAUUUGAGCACAUCCCCAUUUAGGUAUUUUGU